Long non-coding RNA from Balaenoptera acutorostrata (minke whale), 1278 nucleotides. RefSeq lists it as uncharacterized. The transcript is spliced from 3 exons. Lineage: Eukaryota; Metazoa; Chordata; Mammalia; Artiodactyla; Balaenopteridae. The record is from RefSeq and is a predicted model, not a curated record.
CAUCGCAGGUGUGAGUUUGGGGGGCUGGUAAUUGUUGACUGCUGAGCCAGCUCUCCCCGCAUAUGGUCCCGGGGAGGCAGCAGCGGCCCGCGUGGUCCCCCGCCAGGGCCGGCGCUCUGCGCCCUCCAGCGCCUUCAGCCGGUUCCCGCGUGUGAGCCUCAGAGCAACUAAGCCAGGGAGGUCAGGGCAUUAUCGGAUUCGCUUUACCAGCGUGGAAACCGAGAACCAGAGGUUAAGUCGCCGGUCCAGACUCCCGGAGCCAGUCAAUAGUGGGCCUGAACCAGCCCUCUAGGUCACUCGACUCUUAAUUCCAUUUUCCUCGCGUGACCCGCGGCGCCGUGCGGUUCAGCAAACAUUUAUGGAGAGCCUUGUGUGACUCAGGCGCGGAGCUGGGUGAGCUGGCUGCCGGGGGUGCCGACCUGCGCUCUGGCUCUUUUAAUGGGAGGGUGCAAUUUUAACCCUCCGGUUUGGCCCCGAGGUUCCCCAGUCAUACCCCACAACCCAGUGUCAGACACCCAGGUACCUGAGGUGUUUCUCUGGACCCCAGGUCUGGCCGGCUCACACCUGAUGAUUUGCUGGGCCAGACUCCAUGGCUUGCCGUGCAAGGCCUUUCUGAAUCUGGCCUCAGUCUACCUUUGUGGCGCCAUUCUUCCCUGUACCCUCCUGGACCCCUGGGUCUAGCUGCCCAGGUCGACCACCCACUGUUCUACAGCUGUGCUCGGGACCUCAAUGCUCCUUUCCAGCCAGGAACGUGGCUUGUCUAAACCUACUGCUGCAUUGGCUCUUCGUUGCUGUGCGCAGGCUUUCUCUCUAGUUGCGGAGCGGAACCAGCAGGCCUCUUUUCCUUGCCUUUUGGGACCAGAAGGCAGUGAACCAGGAUGGGACAUGCCUCUUCAUAGAGUCAGACACACACAGGUGUCUUAAAGAGGAACGUGCAUCUCUGAGACUGUCAUCAAAAUUUUUAUUUCAAGUCUGCAUGACAUGAGGAUAGUUGGAUUUCUGUCCUGUUGGAUUUCUGUCCUUUUGGUGUUUAUGGAGGACACAAAAAAGAAUUACUCUGAGUAAACAGAGAAGAUUAAAGGCCUUCCUCCAUGGGGCACACCGUUCAUGAGGCAGCAAGCCAGGAGAGUUGUUUCUGGGAUUUUGUGAUGCAGCUGCAGCCCUGAACCACAUCUCAUUUCCGAGUUGUUGCCGUUGGGGCUCCUCAGCUUCUGAGUCUUAGCAUCCAGAGGCUCUGAUCUCAAUCCAUGUGUAUGUGCUGGGAGUGUCCCUGCCAGC